Molecule: ribosomal RNA, 220 nt
Filed under: Escherichia coli
Lineage: Bacteria; Pseudomonadati; Pseudomonadota; Gammaproteobacteria; Enterobacterales; Enterobacteriaceae
Description: partial 16S ribosomal RNA
Rfam family: Bacterial small subunit ribosomal RNA
Source: RNAcentral
UCCAUACCGGAAGUGUGCCAGCAGCCGCGGUAAUACGUAGGUGGCAAGCGUUAUCCGGAUUUAUUGGGCGUAAAGGGCGCGUAGGCGGCUCGUCGCGUCCGGUGUGAAAGUCCAUCGCUUAACGGUGGAUCUGCGCCGGGUACGGGCGGGCUGGAGUGCGGUAGGGGAGACUGGAAUUCCCGGUGUAACGGCGGAAUGUGUAGAUAUCGGGAAGAACACC